GAGUUUGAUCAUGGCUCAGAACGUACGCUGGCGGCACGCCUAACACAUGCAAGUCGAACGAAGUAGCAAUACUUAGUGGCAGACGGGUGAGUAACAUGUAGGUAUCUGCCCUUUGGCCUGGAAUAACACGAGGAAACUUGUGCUAAUACCGGAUAAGUCUUUACGGAGAAAGCUUUAUGCACCAUUGGAUGAGCCUGCACUUGAUUAGUUUGUUGGUGGGGUAAUGGCCUACCAAGACUGUGAUCAAUAGCUGAUUUGAGAGGAUGAUCAGCCACAUUGGGACUGAGACACGGCCCAAACUCCUACGGGAGGCAGCAGUGGGGAAUCUUGCACAAUGGAGGAAACUCUGAUGCAGCGAUGCCGCGUGAGUGAAGAAGGCCCUUGGGUUGUAAAGCUCUUUCGUCGGGGAAGAAAAUGACUGUACCCGAAUAAGAAGGUCCGGCUAACUUCGUGCCAGCAGCCGCGGUAAUACGAAGGGACCUAGCGUAGUUCGGAAUUACUGGGCUUAAAGAGUUCGUAGGUGGUUGAAAUAGUUGGUGGUGAAAUCCCAGAGCUUAACUCUGGAACUGCCAUCAAAACUUUUCAGCUAGAGUAUGAUAGAGGAAAGCAGAAUUUCUAGUGUAGAGGUGAAAUUCGUAGAUAUUAGAAAGAAUACCAAUUGCGAAGGCAGCUUUCUGGAUCAUUACUGACACUGAGGAACGAAAGCAUGGGUAGCGAAGAGGAUUAGAUACCCUCGUAGUCCGUGCCGUAAACGAUGUGUGUUAGACGUUGGAAAUUUAUUUUCAGUGUCGCAGCGAAAGCGAUAAACACACCGCCUGGGGAGUAC
Molecule: ribosomal RNA, 826 nt
Filed under: uncultured bacterium
Lineage: Bacteria
Description: bacterial SSU rRNA
Rfam family: Bacterial small subunit ribosomal RNA
Source: RNAcentral